Molecule: transfer RNA, 83 nt
Filed under: Amycolatopsis oliviviridis
Lineage: Bacteria; Bacillati; Actinomycetota; Actinomycetes; Pseudonocardiales; Pseudonocardiaceae
Description: tRNA-Asp
Source: RNAcentral
GCAGCGCGUGGACGAGGACGUCGGCGCCGGUCCAGCCCCAGAUCUCCGCGAGCGCGUCGAGGUUCGACGCCACCGCGCGGCGC